CCCUUAGAUGUUCUGGGCCGCACGCGCGCUACACUGACGAAUGCAACGAGCUUAUAACCUUGGCCGAAAGGUCUGGGUAAUCUCCAAAUUUCGUCGUGAUGGGGAUAGAUUAUUGCAAUUAUUAAUCUUCAACGAGGAAUGCCUAGUAAGCGCAAGUCAUCAGCUUGCGUUGAUUACGUCCCUGCCCUUUGUACACACCGCCCGUCGCUCCUACCGAUUGAAUGGUCCGGUGAAGCGUUUGGACCGUGGCCUUUGGACGGUUCGCCGUCUGUUGGCUGCGGGAAGUUCGUUAAACCUUAUCAUUUAGAGGAAGGAGAAGUCGUANCA
This 327-nucleotide ribosomal RNA is filed under the name uncultured eukaryote. RNAcentral's name for it is "partial 18S ribosomal RNA". It matches the Rfam family "Eukaryotic small subunit ribosomal RNA", at positions 1470 to 1796 of the family's 1831-position model. The record is from RNAcentral.